AUGGCAUCACAAAUGUUUCAAGAGAUAUAUGAACCUUGCACUUUGUAGCUAUAAAUAUAUGUUGAGAGAAACUCUGAACUAUUGGAGGAAAGCAAACACCAUGUUUCGAUUUUCACAUGUAGAAUUGAGGGCAUCUCAAGUAACGUGGGUAUGAAGAAGGCGCUACAGCUGCCGGAUUACCUAAAGCCGACGGAGCUGAAGAUGAUGCUCAAUACGAUCAAGGUCUUCCUGCCGAUUGUCUUUGUAAGGGAGGCAUGACACCUGGAUGUAUCAUUUGGGAGCAAACUUUAAACGUCUACCUCUUUUAACUAAGAUGUAUCAUUUUCUUCCAAAGACACGAAAGUAUGACACAUUGGGUUUGUUACCGGU
This is an RNA transcript of Zea mays, 369 nucleotides long. It is a transcript of the gene named 3-deoxy-7-phosphoheptulonate synthase pseudogene, with no coding region annotated. The record is from RefSeq and is marked validated. NCBI's taxonomy places the organism in Eukaryota, Viridiplantae, Streptophyta, Magnoliopsida, Poales, Poaceae. The transcript is spliced from 2 exons.